GACGUAGGGGGCCAGCGUUGUUCGGAAUUACUGGGUGUAAAGGGUUCGUAGGCGGUGCGGCAAGUUGGGAGUGAAAUCUCUGGGCUUAACCCAGAGGCUGCUUCCAAAACUGCUGUGCUUGAGUGUGAGAGAGGCUCGUGGAAUUGCAGGUGUAGCGGUGAAAUGCGUAGAUAUCUGCAGGAACACCCGUGGCGAAAGCGGCGAGCUGGAUCACUACUGACGCUGAGGAACGAAAGCUAGGGGAGCAAACAGG
This 253-nucleotide ribosomal RNA is filed under the name uncultured bacterium. RNAcentral's name for it is "partial 16S ribosomal RNA". It matches the Rfam family "Bacterial small subunit ribosomal RNA", at positions 524 to 776 of the family's 1533-position model. The record is from RNAcentral.